GGCUCUUCGGAGCUAGUGGCGGACGGGUGAGUAACGCGUGAGAAUCUGGCUUCAGGUUCGGGACAACAGUUGGAAACGGCUGCUAAUACCGGAUGUGCCUAAGGGUGAAAGAUUUAUCACCUGAAGAUGAGCUCGCGUCUGAUUAGCUAGUAGGUGUGGUAAGAGCGCACCUAGGCGACGAUCAGUAGCUGGUCUGAGAGGAUGAUCAGCCACACUGGGACUGAGACACGGCCCAGACUCCUACGGGAGGCAGCAGUGGGGAAUUUUCCGCAAUGGGCGAAAGCCUGACGGAGCAAUACCGCGUGAGGGAGGAAGGCUCUUGGGUUGUAAACCUCUUUUCUCAGGGAAGAAUGAUGACGGUACCUGAGGAAUAAGCAUCGGCUAACUCCGUGCCAGCAGCCGCGGUAAUACGGAGGAUGCAAGCGUUAUCCGGAAUGAUUGGGCGUAAAGCGUCCGCAGGUGGCAAUGUAAGUCUGCUGUCAAAGCGUCUGGCUCAACCAGAUAAAGGCAGUGGAAACUACAUAGCUAGAGUAAGGUAGGGGUAGAGGGAAUUCCUGGUGUAGCGGUGAAAUGCGUAGAGAUCAGGAAGAACACCGGUGGCGAAAGCGCUCUGCUGGACCUUAACUGACACUGAGGGACGAAAGCUAGGGGAGCGAAUGGGAUUAGAUACCCCAGU
This 676-nucleotide ribosomal RNA is filed under the name uncultured cyanobacterium. Its description in RNAcentral is "bacterial SSU rRNA". It matches the Rfam family "Bacterial small subunit ribosomal RNA", at positions 69 to 791 of the family's 1533-position model. Lineage: Bacteria; Bacillati; Cyanobacteriota. The record is from RNAcentral.